GACGGUUUCGCAUUCUUUUUAGAUUUAUGGGCCCAAAGCUCACGCACGCGCGUUUGUUAAACCAGAUGUGAAAUCUCCGGGCUCAACCGGCGAACUGCAUCUGAUACUGGCAAGCUUGAGUCUCGCAGAGGGGGGUUGAAUUUCCGGUGUACCGGUGAAAUGCUUAGAGAUCUGGAGGAAUACCGUUGAAUGAAGGGGUCCUGGAAACGAAACUGACCCUCGGAGAGAAGGGUGUUACCACCAGGAAUCAUCUCCUGCUAAUCCCAAACCUAUUAAUUUCUAUAUUGCAACCUCCCUGACUACCCACUUACCUGGCGCACUCCCAAUUGCACCGCCGGUGGAUUCUGGUCAUUGUAAAGCUCCACGGAGUUCACUCGGCCAGCGCGGCCAUGCCCCUAUAUCUGAUUGUCUUCCCCGAACAGCCCUUUUGAUCCACCCCAUUCAUUCGGAAUUAAUUAGGGCCGGCCUGAACAUUGGAAUUUCAUGCAGGAUCCUGUUUUUCGGUUGAGAGCUCCAUUCAU
Molecule: ribosomal RNA, 521 nt
Filed under: uncultured Gammaproteobacteria bacterium
Lineage: Bacteria; Pseudomonadati; Pseudomonadota; Gammaproteobacteria
Description: partial 16S ribosomal RNA
Rfam family: Bacterial small subunit ribosomal RNA (bases 52-217)
Source: RNAcentral